RNAcentral lists this unclassified non-coding RNA (384 nucleotides) under Hevea brasiliensis (rubber tree). The record is from RNAcentral. Lineage: Eukaryota; Viridiplantae; Streptophyta; Magnoliopsida; Malpighiales; Euphorbiaceae.
AAGAUCAACCCUAGCUAGGGCAGAAUAACGAACGGACUAAACAACAGUCGCAAGCAGCGCCAUCACCAUCUUUGAAGGGUAGUUGGCCAAUCGCCAAAGGACCUACUCGCCGAAAAGUACGGAGGAGUCAAGCAUAGGCAAAAGCUGGAUCAAAGACCCUAAGAAAUGCAACUCCAGAAAAAAAGGGCAAGCCGAGCCAGAAAAUCAAUAGUGUAGAAAGCAAGGAGGUGGCGUCGCAAAGCUCUACAGCAUCACAAGCUCUUGAGAGUCGCCCACGGCAAGGAAGUGAGUAUUCUAUUUUAAGGAUAAUUGCAUGUUUGUGAGCGUAAAGAGUACUUAUUUUUAAUGCUUGUAACGUAUUCUAUAAUUUUCCUUCGAGUUUAU